UCCACCAUCCACUAUCCACCUAUCCACCUAUCCACCUGUCAUUCUAUCCACCCAUCCACCAUCUACUAUCCAUCGGCAGAAGGGCAGGAAGGCUGUGAGCUCAGGGCUGGGCUGUGGGUGCAGGGACUGCCCGUGAAGAGGUCUCCUUGAUGACCAGAGCCUCAGGUGGCCGAGGUUGACCGGGGUGGGCAGAGUCAGAAAAGCCUCAAACCCCACAGAAUGCCUGGGUCACUCUUCGCCCACACAGCCCCCCUGGCCCCCAUGGCGGUCACCACCCUCUGUCCCUGCACCCACCAACCCACCCUGAUCUCCAGACCCACAGUCUGUAUGCUUGUCCAGGCAUCCAGCUGAGCUGGGUGGGCACAGCGGUCAAUGCUGGGGGUCAGGGUGAGCAGGGUACGCACUUUGGCCCUGGAGGGCGGGGCUUGUCGGGGACCCGGUGGGUGCCCAGGAGCCAGGUCUGGUGGCCUCUGUGGGAGUUCCGUGGGUGGAGGGAAGUAAGCAUGAAGGCUGUGGGGCAUCCCACCAGGCUAGGCUGUUUCUGGAACCUUCUGGAAGCUCUGGGCCUUAGGAUGGGGUGGGGACAGGUGUGUGGGCUGCAGCAGGUGGAAACAGGACCCGGGUUCCUGUAAAUCAAAUGAGUGGCAGCAUUGCUGGUCAAACCCAGUUCCAGAGCAAAUCACCCAGAGCUACAGAUGCAGUGGGAGAAGCCGACGGCCCGGCUGGGACCCUGGCCCUGCUGGAUGCCCUGCACAGCACAGAAGCAGCUUGGAAGGAGAGAUGGCCUGGGACAGCAGCCACGUGAGUGACUGGCAGGGCUGCCCAUGCCUUUGGCUGGGUCACAGGGACCCCUGCUCACCCCGGCUGCCCAGCUGGGAGCUUCCACACCAGCCCGAGCUGUGUGAACAGCCUGGAAGGGAAAUGGGCCUGGUUUUGCUUUGAUCCCCAACCAAAUGUGGCUGCCUGCCUCCCCAUUUCAGCUGUGCAAGGAUUUGAUUUAGAAUUCCAGCAGCAGGAAAUCAGAGAUGAGCCUGAGAACAAGGGGGCGUUGACAUUGGGCUGGGCGAGCCCCUGGGGGAGCAUGUGGGUGCCCAGUGCCGCCGGGGGCAGGAACUCACACCUGGGUAAGACUGUGUGUCCAGGGGGUACUGUCUUCUUCCUGCGGAGCUCCAGAACCUGGCACCUGGGGCGGGGCCGCUAUGAGCCCCUCAGGUGGGAAAAACGAGGCCCUGAGAGAUGGUGGUCUGCUCCUCAGCUGGCGUCCACUCAGGCUCUUUGGCACCAGGGAGGGCCUGCCCUUCGUGGCUUGAGCUUUUAGGAGACUUGGGGGGCCUCUCAGGGAGGUCUGGAUCUGCAGGCAGGAGGGAUCAUUGCCUGUGGGAGGCAGGACCCAGAGGUCUCUGUCCAGGCCCGGCCACGGGGUUUGCUGACCUCUCCCGAGGACGCUGUCCCUGUGGGAGGGGCGCGGCCAACUGCGGUCAGACCACAGCCGGGGGGUGGGUGCAGCUGCUCCAGUCUCCCUGCUGGGUAAGCAUUGGUGAUGCUUUGAUGAGGAUCAGAGGCCCAGCAGCUCAGAUACUUGGGCAGGGUGCUCAAGCUCUCUGUGCCUCAGUUUCCUCUCCUGAUGUCCUGGGACCUGGGAGUCGCUGGUCAUGGGUGCAUGGGGACUGAUGGAGACAGAAAGAUGAGGAGCCUGUGCUGGGGGUGAUGGAGGAGGUGGCAGAGGGGACCCCUCGGUUCAGCCCCGACACGGCAUAAACGCGGGGCCUGGGCUCGGGGGAUGACGGUGUAAAUGCAGAUUCCGGGCUCAGGAUCACAGCGUAAACGUGGGGCCCGGGCUCAGGAUCACGGUGUAAACGUGGGGCCUGGGCUUGGGGGAUCAGGGUGUAAAUGCGGGGCCCGGGCUCGGGGGACGGCCACCUGCCAGCACUUUCUGUAAAUGCCCAACGUCAGUCACUCACGCUCGGCCGGGAGCAGGCAGCACAUCCUCAUGUACUGUGGGCACUGGGAGGUAACUUGGAGCCACUAGAUGCACAGCCCCGGCUUCCCUGGGAGCUCAGGUUCCAGACACCAGACAAGGGGCCCUGAGAUCCAGCUGGGCUGGCCUUACAGGAGGCUGGAGGGCAGCGAGUCUUAGAACGCCACACCCGGGUGGUCACACUACUGGGCAGAUCUACUGAAACCAUCAGCCUCCCCUAAAAACGGGGUCCUGUUUACUCCUUGGGCCCUUCCCUCCUGUCCCUUCCUCUCAUGCAGGUGACCCCCCCACACACAGGGUCACCUGUGCUGUCCAGGGGCCUAUCUGGGGGGAAGGUGCUGGGCGACUCUCAAGACCAGACCUCAGACCUGUGUCAUCGGCUGUCCUGUGGUCGGGGCUGAUGGCUGGCCCUGGAGCCCCCCUGGACCCACAGACAGCGGUGGGGGGCCCAACCCCUCCUGGGGCCCUUGAGUCUAUGCACCUGGGCUGAGUCUCAGCUGGGCCCAGGAAAGCUGGAUCCUACUCACCUAGGGGAGGUUUCCAGGUGGCAGGUGGACCCCUACCAGGUAACACAAUCGCACCAAUGGACUGAAAACAAGGUGCUGGCCUUGAGCAAGUAUGACCUUAAAAUGUGACCAUCCUUAUGUAUGUGUUUAAAACGCCGCCACCAUCCUCACGGCUCAGAUGGCACUGUCCGGUCUGAUCGCCUCCCUACCCCAGCGCACAAGAUCAUUUCAAGAAACUGGAUUUGAGGCUCACAUUCCAGGUGUGCGCCAUUGCCUGGGUCAGGGUGAGCCCAGGAGGGAAGAGCGUGUCCUCCCUGCAACAUCUACGCUGAUUAUUUUACCUGAUUGGAUUCCUGGGCCUGUGACGGGGCUUCUCGCUGUAGUGUAGUUGCAGGAGUGCCUGGGGACCCUGUGUGGAUGGAUCAGACACGGAGCAAAAUACGUUUUCAAAAUUAGGGUAAUAAGGUCUUCCAGUCUCACUCAGCAGAGGAGGAGAGGAGAGGAGAGAGGCUCCAUCGGCUUUGACUGUCGCCCAGCCAUUCCUGUGUUUAGGAGCGUCACACAGGGACAGGGAGGGGUGUGCCUUUUCUGCUUGCCAACCAUGGGGCCAGGCCCCUCUGGGGGCCCCAGGAGGUCCCUACUGGAGCCUCUGGCCACGAUGGAGGAGUCUGGACGGUCGUCUCCAGGGUGGACGAACUCUUCUGAAAGGGGGUUGUUUGCAUUUCAGGUGGGAUUUCCUGUGCACACUAGAGCAGACACGACGAUGGUGCCCUUGUCCCUGGGGCGUCUGUGGGCAGGCCCCAGCUGCAGCUCCCACACAUGUCUGCACUGUCCUACUCCCGAGCACAGGGCCGAGAAACAGGAGGGUGUGGGGUCUGUCCUGGAUCAGCAGCGGCGGAUGGGGGCUUCUGUGGGCAGGCGUCUUGCAGGCCCAUGGUCAGGUGCAACCGCCAAUGCUGAUUGAUUGACGAAUCCAAGAUGCAUCUUCCUCUGACCAAGGUACGGGCUGGGCAGGGAGGUGCUGGCUUGUGGAGGCUGGGGGUGGGCCUGGGUGCCUUUGGCUCCUCCUGCAGCUUGCAGCCUGGCCUUGGCUGUCAGCCAACCUUGAGAUGUCCUCAUCCGGGGCGGGACUGGAGGAGCUUGUGAUGCUGCUCUGGUGCCUUGUGUGUGCUGGGACCGCUCCGGGUCCUGCCAAGUCGAUGGUGGGUGCCUUCGCUCUCCCAGCUCUGCAUGGCAGGGGCUCCUCACCUGCUGGCCAGAGUUGGCAGAACUGGAGGCCUUGGCUGGCCCACAUCCUCUGCCAGGCUCCCGACACUGCCACUCAACCCUGGCAGCCUGGAGCCUGUGGCUGUGGGAGCAACUCUCUUCUUAAACACACGUGUGACCCGAGUGUCCUGGCCUGGCCUGCAGCAUCCGCUGGACACCAGGCAUCUCUGCAAGAUCUGAGGAGAGGGGCGCUGCAGCGGGGCCCAGAGCUCGGCCUCCCCGGAGCUAGGCUGGGGCCAGCGGACCAGAAGGAAUCGAUUGCUCAUUCUGAGAGCUACCGAGAGCUGAUUUGAAUCACCGUGGUGCGACUGCCCAGUCAGGGGCGCUGGCGGCCACCGGCGUUCCAGGCAAGGCCAGACUGCAGACGAAGCAGGCUUUCUCCGGCCCGUGGCCUGGGCUGGUGCUAAAUGAUUCAUUCUUUGCCGGGACCAAAGGACACUUGAUCCGCCUUUUCAGGCCUGUCAUUGAACAAUUCAAAUCAAUGGAUGGGAUUACGGGCUGAUAGAAACGGGGGUUCUCCACGCUCAGAGAAUGACAACUGUGGGACUGCUGGGGGCCCCGUCUGCCCGAAGAGCCGUGCUCGGGAGACGCCGAGGGGAACGAGGUGGAGCACGCUCACAUGGUCGGGCUCCGCUACACUCCCUGGACGUUUUGAAAUAGAAUGCAUUAUUUCAGAAUAACAUAUUCUUAUUUUAAUUAACUUUUGAUGUUUCUGAGCUUUCAAUGAUCAGCAGAGCAAAGAGAACCACUCCGCCGGCUUGGAGCAGGCCCUGUGAUCCUAGAGUGUGUUGUGGGUGCGCCUCAGGGCUCGUCACAGGCUGCUGAGCCUCAGUUUCCCUCCUCACGGAGCCUCCUUUCCGACUGAUUCUUGCGAUGACUCCCCAGAUCGACUAUGAAAUCAGUUUUGAGUACCUUGAAAAAUUUCUAAGAAGUUAUGGUUUUGACGCAGAAAGUUAGCUAAAUAAUGCAGCAGGCUGAAUCACAUCUGGAAGAACCGAGAAUUCUAUCCAGAGUCUAAACACUGAAUCAGCAAGCAGCUUCUCUGGCUGUUCGGUGGCCUGUGUUUCGGGGACACCCAGGGAGGUCUCGGAGGCGUGGGGACCUGUCCUGUUGGGUGGUUUUGGAUGAGUCUGGGUUGAUCAUGCAGGGAGCUGAGGGCCCAGCCACAAGGUGUGGCCCUCACGGAAGAUAAACCCAGGAAACGGUGAGAGCUGUCAGUGGGGAAAGUCCGUGGCUGGAAAAUCCACGUGCCCAGACAGGGUGCCCGGCGCUGCUGCCCAGUGGGCAGCGGGUGGGUCUCAGAGCCUGGACGCUGGAGCCGUGUGGCUUCAUGGGCGAAUGGGCCUUUGAAUUUCUUGUGUGACCUGGAGCUUGCUGCUGACUCCCGUGGGCCUCCGUUUCUUCAUCUGUAAAUUGGGGACAUUGAAGAUCCCUCCCAGGGUGACUUUGAGGCUCCACUGGGGACACGCCUGUGGGACCUAAAUAAAGAAUCCAGGUGGGAGACGCAGUCGUGGAACCCGUCCACGCUCUGCUUCCUGGUGUUAAACGUGACGACGGCUGGGCAAGUGGGGCUGUGCAAAGUCAUCUCCAAAACACUU
Cercocebus atys (sooty mangabey) is the source of this 5348-nucleotide long non-coding RNA. RefSeq lists it as uncharacterized. NCBI's taxonomy places the organism in Eukaryota, Metazoa, Chordata, Mammalia, Primates, Cercopithecidae. The transcript has 3 exons. The record is from RefSeq and is a predicted model, not a curated record.